This 665-nucleotide long non-coding RNA is filed under the name Homo sapiens (human). RNAcentral's name for it is "long non-coding RNA NONHSAT254830". Lineage: Eukaryota; Metazoa; Chordata; Mammalia; Primates; Hominidae. The record is from RNAcentral.
UGCACUGGGAAACACAGAUGAAGAAAGCCAACACCGCUUUGUCCUUCAGUACCUGGCUCCCUUUUCAGCUCGUCUUGCGACUCCAGGCAUUAUGCCUGAAAAGUCUCCUGGACGCCUGUGAGGCUCUAAUUCCCUGGGUCCCAUUGUCAUGUCUCUGGAUUUGCGAAGAUUAACCGGACCUUCUGUGGAACUCCCGUGUCCCUCAACUUUUGUGACAUGUCCCCUAAUUCUGCCCAUGGUCAUCUGCACCUGCACGACUUAGGGUCCAUGUUCCUUGGACGGGAAGAGACAGGCAGGAGUCGGAAUGAUGAACCAGCACACUGGGGCAUUUUCUCAUGUAGCCCAAGUGACCCCAUGGUCUUCUUGAGCUUUGGAACCAGUCGCGUCCCCCUUGACACUGCACCCGACUCCCAGUUUCUCAAUCUUGUUGGCCCUCCGGCGAUCUCCCGUUGGAUGAAUUGCAUCUGCUGAAACUCGAGUCCCCUUUGAUUUGUGCUUCAUUAAUUAUUCAUGAUUCAGGUUGGAAGGCCUGCUGACGACCCCCUGUGGCCGUUUUCCGAGCUUUCCGGUCACAUCGUUUCCUUCCACCCUCUUUGGUUCCUUGUGGUCCUGCUCCUUCUGCUGUCAGAGGAGCAGAGAGUUGAUCUUAUUGAUUCUGGAUACGG